Molecule: non-coding RNA, 1977 nt
Organism: Paramisgurnus dabryanus
Lineage: Eukaryota; Metazoa; Chordata; Actinopteri; Cypriniformes; Cobitidae
Source: RefSeq, a predicted model, not a curated record
GGAUCCGCAUGAAAGCCUUUAGAUCCGUCUGUAGCGGACAUACGGUAUCUGACUGUGGGCCAGAUCUGCACCUGAUAAGAUUUCAGCUCUGCUAGCAAAGCUGUUUUUUCAUCGAUUUACAGAUUUGUUCCAGGUCCGGUUUCCGCAACUCAACCGGAAGUCAGGAGAUGCGUUUAAAAUACAAAACACUAAUUUGGCCCAAACCUGUGAUACGGAUAUGGGCAGAAGGAGCAGGUGGUAAUUGAACAGAGAAGUCAACUAGCUGGCUGCUGUAGAAUAAAAGUAUUUUGUAAUGGCACAAAUUUAGAAACAUGAGGGUGCACUAUGUGCCCAUGGCCACUUCAUUUCUACACUAAAUUUAAGCUAAUUGGCUCAGUAUAUGUGCCAGUUAGACUUUUCAGUGCUGUUUUUCUACAGUCAGCAGAUUUGGGCCAGAUCCACUUACCACAUCAGAACCAAAGCUUCCAGAAAGACAGUUCCCUGAUGUGGCCCACAUCUGUAAUAUUGACCCAAACCACCUCCAAACUUGUGUGUUCCACUCUGGUUUACUGAACAGAGCCGAACGCGCGAAGUGAGUGAGGUCCGUCCGUUUGAGAGACGUUAUGCUGAUCUGGCCCUCAUCCGUACCACGGAUUAUAGCCAGAAACCGUUGGAAUAGAUCAAAUGAAACUUUUGUGGGGGUGCCCAUGCCAUAUUUCGUUAUUAAAUCCUGAUUUGUUAAAUCUUACAAUGGAACACUUGCACGUAGCCUACACAAAAAUGAUUAAUUCACUAACAAAGUAAUAGGCUUGUCUCAAAAUGGAAGAUUUACCACAUAACAAAAUAAUACAUUAGCAACUGUCCACUAUCCAAGUGCAAUGGUCCAAGCUGUAUUGCCAUCCUGGGAAGAAAAAAAGUUGCGAACAUCGUGGGAAAAAACGGCACUGGCGCACAUAAUGGAUGGCAGCAUGGGUGCAUUUAUAGUCCAUCAUGACAUAAAAAAUCCUCUGCAUGCAACCACGAGGAGAGGGGGAAUUUACUAAGGAGUUUUGUCUAUAUAUUAUAUAAAAUCUACUGUUGGGAAGAGCAGAACCUAAUCCAAAUAAAAAUAAACAAGCUGUUAAAAGCCAGUUGAAGGUGGUCAACACAAACCAAAUGAAGAUGUUGCACAUUCCACAAACAAUAAAAAAGAAGAUCAAGUUUUGUGUCCAACACACUUGGAUGAGACGUGCCCGACCCCUGACUUUGUCUACCCUACAUUAAGUUGUGAUGGCACACUUCAUGACAGUAAACAUUGGUAUCAAGAUGAUGUGAUUGAUCUAUACCCUAGAAUAAGCUGUGACACUAUGAGACGGUGACAUAAUGAACAGCCAUUUCCAGACAACCGAAACAGUAUUGUCUACAAUACCAAAUUCUGGAUUGACGCCCCAGUACCAGAAGGCACUCCAAUCCCAGAGAGCAUCCCAUUGUGAGGUAACACAACGAAAAAAUAACAGGAUGGAGACAACCUGAUUCUUCACCUAUGGCCUUAGCUUCAAAUGCAAGAAGUCCAGCAACUUUCUGAGCUGGUGGAUAUUCUAUCAGAGACUGCAUGAACAACGUUAUGAACAGAAUGAUGUCUAAUUGUCUUAUGGCAAAGUUCAAUAUGAGGGGUGGUGGACAUCUGGAAAAUAAGUCUUUUAAAGGCACACCUUUGUAUUAUGUUAUUCAAGAUGCUGUGAGGAGGUGGAGCCCAAAAGCCACGGACUCGGAAAUCGAUGCAGCUAUGGCAGACCACCUCAAGCACGCUCCAGGAAGAGAGCUAGGGGUUGUGAAUACAAAAAAUAAGCCAAACAGAUGUAAUGUGUUAGAGAUAGUUCACACAAAAAUGAAAAUUGUUAUAAUUUACUUACCCACGUGUUUCAAACCUGUAUACAUUUCUAUUUUUUGCUGAACACAAAGAUUGAAUAAUGUUUGUAACCAAGCAUUUCUCACAACCCAUUAACUGUCAUAAUCAUU